ACAAUGGGCGCAAGCCUGAUGGAGCAACACCGCGUGAGUGAAGAAGGGUUUCGGCUCGUAAAGCUCUGUUGUUAAAGAAGAACACGUAUGAGAGUAACUGUUCAUACGUUGACGGUAUUACCAGAAAGUCACGGCUAACUACGUGCCAGCAGCCGCGGUAAUACGUAGGUGGCAAGCGUUAUCCGGAUUUAUUGGGCGUAAAGAGAGUGCAGGCGGUUUUCUAAGUCUGAUGUGAAAGCCUUCGGCUUAACCGGAGAAGUGCAUCGGAAACUGGAUAACUUGAGUGCAGAAGAGGGUAGUGGAACUCCAUGUGUAGCGGUGGAAUGCGUAGAUAUAUGGAAGAACACCAGUGGCGAAGGCGGCUACCUGGUCUGCAACUGACGCUGAGACUCGAAAGCAUGGGUAGCGAACAGGAUUAGAUACCCUGGUAG
This 431-nucleotide ribosomal RNA is filed under the name uncultured bacterium. RNAcentral describes it as "bacterial SSU rRNA". It matches the Rfam family "Bacterial small subunit ribosomal RNA", at positions 368 to 793 of the family's 1533-position model. The record is from RNAcentral.